This 279-nucleotide ribosomal RNA is filed under the name uncultured bacterium. Its description in RNAcentral is "partial 16S ribosomal RNA". It matches the Rfam family "Bacterial small subunit ribosomal RNA", at positions 506 to 784 of the family's 1533-position model. The record is from RNAcentral.
UGCCAGCAGCCGCGGUAAUACGGAGGGUGCAAGCGUUGUUCGGAAUCAUUGGGCGUAAAGCGGGUGUAGGCGGUGGCGCAAGUCGGAUGUGAAAUCCCGAGGCUCAACCUCGGAACUGCAUUCGAAACUGCGUCACUAGAGUCUCGGAGAGGGUGGCAGAAUUCCCGGUGUAGGGGUGAAAUCCGUAGAUAUCGGGAGGAAUACCAGUGGCGAAGGCGGCCACCUGGACGAUGACUGACGCUGAGACCUGAAAGCGUGGGGAGCAAACAGGAUUAGAUA